GAUGAACGCUGGCGGCGUGCCUAAUACAUGCAAGUCGAGCGAACGGACGAGAAGCUUGCUUCUCUGAUGUUAGCGGCGGACGGGUGAGUAACACGUGGAUAACCUACCUAUAAGACUGGGAUAACUUCGGGAAACCGGAGCUAAUACCGGAUGAUAUUUUGAACCGCAUGGUUCAAAAGUGAAAGACGGUCUUGCUGUCACUUAUAGAUGGAUCCGCGCUGCAUUAGCUAGUUAGUAAGGUAACGGCUUACCAAGGCAACGAUGCAUAGCCGACCUGAGAGGGUGAUCGGCCACACUGGAACUGAGACACGGUCCAGACUCCUACGGGAGGCAGCAGUAGGGAAUCUUCCGCAAUGGGCGAAAGCCUGACGGAGCAACGCCGCGUGAGUGAUGAAGGUCUUCGGAUCGUAAAACUCUGUUAUUAGGGAAGAACAUAUGUGUAAGUAACUGUGCACAUCUUGACGGUACCUAAUCAGAAAGCCACGGCUAACUACGUG
RNAcentral lists this ribosomal RNA (497 nucleotides) under uncultured bacterium. RNAcentral describes it as "partial 16S ribosomal RNA". It matches the Rfam family "Bacterial small subunit ribosomal RNA", at positions 28 to 507 of the family's 1533-position model. The record is from RNAcentral.